UGGACGGACCUCUGGUAUGCCGGUUGUCGCGCCAGCGGCAUGGCCGGUUGGCUACGUUCGGGAGGGAUAACCGCUGAAAGCAUCUAAGCGGGAAGCCUGCUCCAAGAUUAGGAUUCCUUGGCACUUCGGUGCCUGUAGCCCGCAUGUGGAACACGUGUUCGAUAGGCCGGAGGUGGAAGCCUUGCGAGGGGUGGAGCCGACCGGUACUAACGGGCGAUCGCGGCA
Molecule: ribosomal RNA, 225 nt
Filed under: Bifidobacterium sp. N5G01
Lineage: Bacteria; Bacillati; Actinomycetota; Actinomycetes; Bifidobacteriales; Bifidobacteriaceae
Description: partial 23S ribosomal RNA
Rfam family: Bacterial large subunit ribosomal RNA
Source: RNAcentral